CUCUUGGGCGUCCCCUCCUUCUUUUUCUGUCAUGGAUGACUAGAAAAGGGUGCACAAUAUGUUCCAUAAAAGUCACAAAAAUCUCAAAAAAAAUUAGAUAAAAUCAGGGCCAUAAGGAAAGAGUUUUGGUUUUCUAAAACUCUAUCUCAUAGAAUUUGAAAUCCAAACUAAUUCCUACUUUGACUUCAUCCACAACCACAUUCCAUGUC
RNAcentral lists this long non-coding RNA (209 nucleotides) under Elaeis guineensis (African oil palm). Its description in RNAcentral is "long non-coding RNA (EGUI_LNC081946)". Lineage: Eukaryota; Viridiplantae; Streptophyta; Magnoliopsida; Arecales; Arecaceae. The record is from RNAcentral.